UAGAGUUUGAUCCUGGCUCAGGAUGAACGCUAGCGGCAGGCUUAAUACAUGCAAGUCGAGGGGCAGCAGGGGUGUAGCAAUACACUCGCUGGCGACCGGCAAACGGGUGCGGAACACGUACGCAACCUUCNNNAAACUGGGGGAUAGCCCGGGGAAACCCGGAUUAAUACCUCGUAACAUCAUGAAGUGGCAUCACUUUAUGAUUAUAGCUCCGGCGGUUUUGGAUGGGCGUGCGCCUGAUUAGGUAGUUGGCGGGGUAACGGCCCACCAAGCCUACGAUCAGUAACUGGUGUGAGAGCACGACCAGUCACACGGGCACUGAGACACGGGCCCGACUCCUACGGGAGGCAGCAGUAAGGAAUAUUGGUCAAUGGACGCAAGUCUGAACCAGCCAUGCCGCGUGAAGGAUGAAGGUCCUCUGGAUUGUAAACUUCUUUUAUAUGGGACGAAACCCCUUUUUCUUGAGGGACUGACGGUACCAUAGGAAUAAGCACCGGCUAACUCCGUGCCAGCAGCCGCGGUAAUACGGAGGGUGCAAGCGUUAUCCGGAUUCACUGGGUUUAAAGGGUGCGUAGGAGGGCAGGUAAGUCAGUGGUGAAAUCCCCGAGCUUAACUUGGGAACUGCCGUUGAUACUAUCUGUCUUGAAUACCGUGGAGGUGAGCGGAAUAUGUCAUGUAGCG
This 681-nucleotide ribosomal RNA is filed under the name bacterium enrichment culture clone SC-2_36. Its description in RNAcentral is "bacterial SSU rRNA". It matches the Rfam family "Bacterial small subunit ribosomal RNA", at positions 1 to 680 of the family's 1533-position model. The record is from RNAcentral.